This is a non-coding RNA of Pelobates cultripes (western spadefoot toad), 157 nucleotides long. Lineage: Eukaryota; Metazoa; Chordata; Amphibia; Anura; Pelobatidae. The record is from the annotation of a GenBank genome assembly.
GCAGACACAUUCCAGCCAAUCAGCAGCAGACCCUCCCUCCUAGACCCUCCCACCUCCUGGACAGCAUCCAUUUUGAAGCUGCAUUCUUAGUGAGCUGUCCAGGAGUUGGGAGGGUCUGGGAGGGAGGGUCUGCUGCUGAUUGGCUGGAAUGUGUCUG